GGGCAGAAAUAAUAAUAACCUUAAAUAAUAAAAUGUGUAUUAUUUUACCCUCCACUAAAUGGUAUUUCUCAACCAAACAACAACUAGGCUAAACGAAACACCUACACCUGAACGUUUGUGGUGUGUGUCUGUGAGUCUGUGUGUGUGACUGUUGGACAUGCUCACUUAAUCAGAGUCACAGUUGUGACAGGGGUACAGGCUUGGUGGGCCCAUAAUUUGCAUUCCCAGCACUGCACGCAGACCUCAUUGGAAUUGUUAAAGUGCUCCAUGCACACGCGUUUUCCUCGUUGGAGGAAUCUGAAUCUUCUGGUUCAAUCUGCUUUGUUUUGUCUUUUUUCUUAGGCAGGACUGUUUUUUGUUGUUGUUCAGUGUGGUUUGUCUUGGCUUGCUUCUUUCCAGCUGUUGUUGUAGGCAGGACAAUUUUUAUUUUUGUCUUCUGAGUGCUUGACUCUUUAUGCUCUUCUUCCAGUGCCUGCGUGACGGGUGUAUCUGUCAAAAUCACAGUUUUUCUCCUCUUCCUAAUCCUUGUUGUAAUUUUCCUGAACCCUGCUUUUGGGAAGGGGCGUACAACUGGGUUGAAAUCAGAAGAGUAAUCAGGUGUUUCCCAGCCACAGCCUGAUACAUGUGGGGAGGUGCCCUGUGAAGUGACUGGAGAGGUGGCCUGGGAGGCAGCUGGAAAGGUGGCCUGGAAGGCAGUUGGAGAGGUGGCCUGGAAGGCAGUUGGAGAGGUGGCCUGAAUAGCUGUGGGCACAGUGGGCAUAAUGGCCUGAGAAGUGUCUGAAGAGGUAACCUGGGAGGCAGCUGGCAAGACCAGUGUGUCUGCUGGAGCAGGAGGAUCAGUGACAAGUGAGGGUGCAAUGUCACAUCCCUUAAAUAUAUCAGGAUUGUAUGGCCAAAUGCCAGCACACCUGAACCCAGCCUGUACAUUGGUGGGUGUUGUGGCACCUGUUUCGACAAGGCCUGGAAUGUCAUUUAUGGUCAGUUGGAGAGGUGGCCUGGAAGGCAGCUGAAAAAGUGGCCUGGGAGGCAGCUGGCGAGAUGGCCUGGAAGGCAGUUGGAGAGGUGGCCUGGAAGGAAGUUUGAGAGGUGGCCUGGGAGGCAGCUGGAGAGGUGGCCUGGAAGGCAGUUGGAGAGGUGGCCUGGAAGGAAGUUGGAGAGGUGGCCUGGAAGGAAGUUUGAGAGGUGGCCUGGGAGGCAGCUGGAGAGGUGGCCUGGGAGGCAGCUGGAGCUGUGGCCUGGAAGGAAGUUGGAGAGGUGGCCUGGAAGGCAGUUGGAGAGACGGCCUUGAAGGCAGUUGGAGCUGUGGCCUGGAAGGAAGUUGGAGAGGUGGCCUGGAAGGCAGUUGGAGAGACGGCCUGGAAGGCAGUUGGAGCUGUGGCCUGGAAGGAAGUUGGAGAGGUGGCCUGGAAGGCAGUUGGAGAGACGGCCUGGAAGGCAGUUGGAGCUGUGGCCUGGAAGGAAGUUGGAGAGGUGGCCUGGAAGGAAGUUGGAGAGGUGGCCUGGAUAGCUGUGGGCACAGUGGCCUGAGAAGUGUCUGAAGAGGUGACCUGGGAGGCAGCUGGAAAGACCAGUGUGUCAGCUGGAGCAGGGGUCAUGGUCUUUCCGGGCUUCAUCCUCAAACAGG
RNAcentral lists this long non-coding RNA (1624 nucleotides) under Salmo salar (Atlantic salmon). RNAcentral's name for it is "lncRNA (ENSSSAG00000083089.1, ENSSSAG00000106117.1)". The record is from RNAcentral. Lineage: Eukaryota; Metazoa; Chordata; Actinopteri; Salmoniformes; Salmonidae.